Molecule: long non-coding RNA, 231 nt
Filed under: Gossypium barbadense (sea-island cotton)
Lineage: Eukaryota; Viridiplantae; Streptophyta; Magnoliopsida; Malvales; Malvaceae
Description: long non-coding RNA (GBAR_LNC010715)
Source: RNAcentral
UCCCAUCAGACAACAACCAUCCACCUUCCGUUUCCCAUUUUAAAUGGGGAAGAAUCAGCAACAGCCAUAGAUCCACCUUAAACAGAGGUCUCGGGUCUCAUCACCCUAUUAUCAAGCAAAGCAAAACGCCUCCCCGCCUGCCAUAGCUAAGACCAACCAAUUCAACCAUGUUCCAGAGCAUCAGGGAAGACGAGCAGCAGAGGCGAGAGAAGAGUUAACAAGGGCUCAGGC